Molecule: transfer RNA, 81 nt
Filed under: Heliocybe sulcata
Lineage: Eukaryota; Fungi; Basidiomycota; Agaricomycetes; Gloeophyllales; Gloeophyllaceae
Rfam family: tRNA
About the family: Transfer RNA (tRNA) molecules are approximately 80 nucleotides in length. Their secondary structure includes four short double-helical elements and three loops (D, anti-codon, and T loops).
Source: Rfam by way of RNAcentral
GCCCUUAUAGCUCAGUGGUAGAGCGCAUCACUCGUACGUAACGGUAUGAUGAGGUCCGUUGUUCAAUCCAGCGUGGGGGCA